UGAAACUCCUUCCAGCUGUGUAGAUCUUUGAUGUCUGAAAAUACUCCUACAUGCAGACCAAUCAUCAGACCUGUUCCUCUCGAAUGCAUUGUGGGAUUGAGUUUGUUGUGUUUGGUGUGUUUCAGGGUCCUGUCGGAGGAAGCGGCAGCAGUGGAUUCCCAGGCUUGAGAGGCGAUCCGGGGCCCGAGGGACCCCGCGGCUUUCCUGGCAUUGUGGGACCUCAGGUAACGUCCCGUCAGGUCACGCCUCAGAGUUUCUGUAAGCUGAUUGGCUGGACAAUGAAGAUCUUGUUCUCUCAUUGGCAGGGCCUGACUGGAGGGGCGGGGCCUCCUGGAAUGAAAGGUGAUAAGGCUGAACCUGGACUGAGGGGUGACCCGGGAGAGACUGGAUAUCAGGGCGACAAGGUGAGCGUCAGGAGGAAACCGUAUGCUUGGUUUCUGUCUGUCUGUUAAAGCUCUUAUUGUAUUCCCUUGUGUCUGAAAGUUUGUGCAUGAUAGGAAUCUGCUUCAGGAUUCUCUUAAGAUGCAUUAUUAGGCCUUUAAGAUUUACGCUUUUGAAUUGCAUGGUUAAUAUCCAUUCAUAUAGUAAAAAACGUAUAUACUUCAUGUGUUACAUGCUUGUCAUUAUGAAUAAAUGGAGCGGGUCAGAUUCUUAAAGUUUUUGGAUGUUUAUUAAUUAACAUCCAAUUUAAUUAAUUUAUUAAUGUUUGAAUUACAAAAUAUUUUUUAUUAAUAUAUAUAGAGAGAGAGUAGCUCUGUUAAUUGUGAAAACAAUCAAAUAUGUUUCAUUAAAAAAAUGUGAACAUGAUUAAAAUCGACUAGUCGGGGAACGUGCAAUAUUCAAUGAGUUAAAAUGUAUGAUUUUGAAGCAAAUUGGAUUUAUAAAUGAUAAAUAUAUAAAGCUGGUUAUUGUGUGUAUAACACAUACAGUAUAGUAGAUCUAUUUCAGAAAUCUGACCGGUUUCAUUCAUGUGUGACUGACAAAUAUGAAUCAUUUUUGAGUUUAAUGAGUUUAAUCAGUGGAGUGUCAAUGGAUGGAGAUUUUAUAUUUAAUUCAAAUACACAAAUUGUACAUAUUUCUUGAGUGAGACAUUUGAAGAAAUCAUGAACGGCUGGUUAAGUAAUGAAGUUUGUUUGGUCUGAAUGUGUGAAGAUGGAUUGUGUGGUUUAUGCAGACAGCGAGGAGACUAGUGUUUUGUUUGUGUCUCUCUUCCAGGGGACCGCUGGGAAUCCAGGUCCGACGGGACCACGCGGAAAACCAGGACCUCUCGUAAGACCCUCUGUGUUCAAUACAGAUACUGUUGAUUGUCAGGAAACCAGCAAAUCUGAGAGACUGAGCUCUGAUCUCUUGAUGUAUGUGUUUAUAUAUGAUGUUCAUGGUUGAUAUUCUCUCUCUGAAGGGGAAACCAGGAGACCCGGGACCACAGGGGCCUCCGGGGCCGCCAGGACCUGAGGUGAGAACCAGAGCUCAUGCACUGAUUUUGAGAGGACUGACAAUAAUUGUGUAGGUUAUGUUUAAACUAGCUGAAAGAUUUGGAGCAACACUUUUAUUAGAUCAGUGAUUAGAUCCAAACCUUCCUCAAUACAACAAAGCAUUAAUCAAUUUAGAGCUGUUUAUAGUCUCCAGUAAAUAGCCUGAAUUGUGUCUGUUUUGGAAGGCAUGUCUGCUUCCUUUUUUAUUUGGGUUAGUUAUUGCGUUUCUCUUUCAUUAAUUCAGAACAUGAUCCUCGCAGCUUUAUCAGAGUAAACGCAGAAGCAUCUGUGCAGCAAAUGGAUGAAACUCAUCCAGCGCAAGAGUUUAGCGUGUCGCGAGCUAGUUUGAUAGCAACUAGGUGGAUAGGAGGGUGCCCUCUAGUGGCACUUCUGUGUUAUUUCAUGCUCAUGUCAUGCUGUAGCUACAUUCCUGCCUGCAAAUUAAUGUAAUUAACAUUUCUAACGAACUGUUGUGGUCAGCAAGAACAUGACAUGACUUAUUUUUUUUUUACUUUUGUU
RNAcentral lists this long non-coding RNA (1991 nucleotides) under Carassius auratus (goldfish). Its description in RNAcentral is "lncRNA (ENSCARG00000015939.1)". The record is from RNAcentral. Lineage: Eukaryota; Metazoa; Chordata; Actinopteri; Cypriniformes; Cyprinidae.